This is a long non-coding RNA of Psammomys obesus (fat sand rat), 323 nucleotides long. RefSeq lists it as uncharacterized. The transcript is spliced from 3 exons. NCBI's taxonomy places the organism in Eukaryota, Metazoa, Chordata, Mammalia, Rodentia, Muridae. The record is from RefSeq and is a predicted model, not a curated record.
CCCACUUAGUUGUAUUUUUUUUCCCCUUUAGUUAUCUGGCACUUCCACCAUUUUCCUGAACAAGAAAUCAUCGUGGGAAAGUCCAGAUCAGGCUCUCAGUCUACCAAGGCUGACCAGAGAACACCAACCUUCCGGCAGGAUCCCAUUAGCCCCGUGAAGGAAUGAAGACAUUGGAUUGUGGAGACGUCCGGUUGUUCAUAGGGAUGCUGAGUACCAUGCACAACUACUGUGGUGAUUUGGAAGCGCCAAGGCUGUGAUCCCGAAUCAAUCUUCCUCCUGGGGUUUAUGCCAGAUAUACGUCACAGGGAUGAGAAAUGAACAAC